UCAGGUGCUGGGGUUUGUAGUUUAGGGCGGGGCUUUGAGAACCCUCAGGCAAAGAGCUCUUGGGUCUCACUGAACUACAAAUCCCAGAAUCCCACAGUAUGAUGCUCAUACUAGGAGCCUCCGAUGGCCUAGGGGAGAAAAGCCAUGUGACUUGAAGGUUGGGUUGCUGACCUGAAGGUUGCCAGGUUCGAGUCCCACCCGGAGAGAGUGCGGAUGAGCUCCCUCUAUCAGCUCCAGCUCCAUGCGGGGACAUGAGAGAAGCCUCCCAUAAGGAUGCUAUGUUGUCGCCCAGUAGCCCUCUACAGGGGAGCCUGCUAGCCAGCAACAACGAAACAUGAGCAAGCCCUUAACACAAUGGAAAUGAAAAUGCUGAGAUGGACACUUGGUUUGACACUUGUUGACCAUGUGCCAAAUGAUGACAUCUGUCAAAGAUGAGGAAUAAAGGCAAUCCGUAAGAAAAUGCAAGAAGCAAGACUACGGUGGUAUGGCCAUGUCAUGAGAAUAGAACUAACAUCAGUAGCACACACAGCAUUACAUGUGGAGAUUGCAGGACGACGACCACGUCGUCGGCCAAAGAAAAGACAAAAAGAUACCAUCAACAAAGAUAUGCAAGCUGCCAGCCUAAGACUUGAGGAUACCCAAAACAAAGCCCUGUGGAAACGACAGUCACAAUGCUAACCCCUCCAUUGGGAAAAUAGCUUAGAAAGAAGCAGCAGCAGCUAUGUUGUAACCUGCCUCAUGCCACGAGGAGAAGCGGUUCUACAUAUAACUUGGAUGCUUAUGAUGCCUAACAGAGCAGAAGUGAAAAUAAUUAUGCUUUCCAGAUGCUACUGAACUGUCACUCCCAGCUGCUAGACACAGCUCAGACAAUAUUGAGUUCAGCAAUUUCCAGAAGACUGUGGUUCCCACCUGUGCACUAAGGUUAAACUCGCUGAAGUCUGUGCGAUUCUCACUCCAUUCUAUUUUUAAAUUCUGUAAUCAUACAUUCAAUAUCAUGUCAUUCUUCACUUGCCAUCUCUUCUCCCUAGUCUCAACCUGAUGAAGAGAACUGAAGAUCUUGAAAGCUUCUUCCCAAUUUUGUGCAUAUAUGAUUGAUUCUCAGGUAUUACCUGAAAACAGAUUAUGGAAUUUAUAUUAGUCUUUUGCAUUUGGAAUUAAAGGUCAGCUUUAUAAAAUUAUUGGAAGGGGGUAGUUAUUCUGUGAAGCAGCUUUUCGUAGGGACAAUACAGAACUAGACGUAAUCCCCUUUAAGAACAAACUAGGUUUGAUUUCUCAAUUAGUGGGGCAAUUAGCACCAUUUUAAAAACAAUUUCAGGACAUGUACAUUGGACAGUUCAGCCAUGAAACAAGCAGUGGGGCAGUAUGCGAUGGUUGAAAGUGAUGAAAUUAGGAAUUUGCUUUAAAAAUGCACAAACUCCCCCCAUGACUAGGAAAAGCAAUAGCAGUCAACAGCUAAAACUUAUUCCACACUAUGAUUUAUACUGAUCUGAAAAAAACCAUAGUCUCCCACAAUAUGAGCACAUGAAGUUCAAAAAGGCUGGUGGGCAAACUGGUUUUUAAGUAAAAGCCAUUUCUAGGACUUCGGGUGUGCUAAGGACUGUAUUAACUGUUCCAGUUGUCUAUCCUGCUUCACUGAUCAUCAUACCUCGUAACUUGGGAAUGGCAAAAUCUGGACCUAAGAUACUGCUAAACUGCAACUCCCAUCAGCCCUAGCCAGAAUAGUAACAAAUGCUAAAAUUCAAGUGGUCACACUUUGUCCAUCCUAAACUAUUACGCAGGAUGCAUUUUUCUGUCAAGUUUACACAAGCAGUUUGCCAUAAACUCAGGCAGCUUAUUAGUUAAAUCCAACUGUGAUCAUGCAGAACCAAUGAUAUUUGAAUUCCAGUCAUGGUAUUUGGUUCUUUUAUAUUUCAAUUUACUUAGCAGUUAACCUCUAUCAAUUAAAAAUUGAAAUGAGUUCGACCAUUUUUCUUCUUUUGAUGAAAAAAAUGCUGGAAAUUAAUACAUUCUGAACAGCAUACAACUUUGUAUAAAUAAACUUUGAGAAAAUGCUGAAUAUUUUAGUCUGUAUAUAUUGUACUCAUUGCAGGAGUUACAGAGCAAUAUAGAAAGGCUCCAAUUCAAUGUCUGGGAGUAUGAUAUUUCAUGGCUUUCAAUCAGAACUAGCUAACCUACUUCUAGAUAGCAUCUUAUCAUCAAUUAAAGCACUGAUUAGUGAUCAAUACUUAAAAACAGAAAUGAAGCUUAACAAAAUGUUAAUAUAAUGUCUACCAAGGAAUAUCAGUUUCAAAUGUACUCCUUAAUCAAGUUUAUGUAAACCAGUUCAAUUCCAGGACUGGGAGAAAAUGAAGGGCAAAAAGCAGCAUUGAUUUAGUCUGUUGUUGGGCACCUACCUAUUUAUUAGGAAAAGACAAGUAACUAUUACCUAGCAAGCUAACAAGCAUACUUUUUGUGCGUGUUCUUCAGAGCAGUGGUUCUCAACUUUUGAUAUAUUAUGUGACCCACAAAUUACUCUGCAAAAGAGGAAAAUUUCCACUAGAAUGAGCAAUCGUGUAAGGUAAAUUUUAAGGCAGUAUUGCUAGAACUAUACUUUGGAGAUACAGUCAUUAAUUAAUCAGCCCCAGAGGGUUUUUAAUAAUCUACCCCGUUUUUAUUACGAUUUUACCAUUUAUGUGUUUUAAAUGCAAAUUUUUAUCCUGUAUUUUUGUUUUAAUUGAUAUAUUGUAUUACUGUUUUAUCUUUUUAUAGUGUGAUUUGUAUUAUGUUGUUUAUGUUUUGUUCUAUGUUGUUUGGGCCUCUGCCCCAUGUAAGCCGCCCCGAGUCCCCACGGGGAGAUGGUGGCGGGGUAUAAAUAAAGUUUUUAUUAUUAUUAUUAUUAUUAUUAUUAUUAUUAUUAUUAUUAUUAUUAUUAUUAUUAUUAUUUAUACACCAAUGUCCAUUAGUACAGUUAUUAGAAAUUGCUGUAAUGCCUUAUAUCUCAGCUAAACUAUUUCCAUGUUCUGUUGAUGAUGCAUGUGUACCUGGUUGAGAACUGCUCCAAAACAACUUUGAUCCCAUGACUGUCUCCAGACAAGCAUUUGUGAGUUUCAAAACCUCAAAAUGAUAACAAUAUACACAGGAGUGCAGCUAUAUUAAUGGCAUAUUAAUUUUAACCUCAUGAAUAAAAAUCUAGCCUCAGACAAAAAUCUAGCCAAAGAAAUGUAUUUAUUUAUUUAUUUAUUUCCAGCAUUUAUAUUCCGCCCUUCUCACCCCGAAGGGGACUCAGGGCGGAUCGCAUUACACAUAUAGGCAAACAUUCAAUGCCUUUCAACAUAGAACAAAGACAAGACAAACAUGGCUCCGAGCGGGCCUCGAACUCAUGACCUCCCGGUCAGAGUGAUUCAUUGCAGUGAUUCAUUGCAGCUGCUCUCCAGCCUGCGCCACAGCCCGAGUGCAUCUUAUCUGCCAGACAUGUUUCUGUAUUGUUCCUCCUAUUGUUUGUGAAUAACUGGCUCCAUUCUGCCUCAGAGUUGUACUUGUACUUGCUACUCUAUCAACCCUGUACACUUGGAAUUAACUUGGUACAGAUUUCUCCAUGGGAAUCAAGCUAACCGUAACAUAGUAUUGAGAUGACAAUGAAUACUUAAACCAGAAUAUGAGUAAUAUGUGGCCUAUAGACGAUGUAUAACAAAAUCAACACUUUUUAAAAUAUGUAUACACCUUUAGCAGCUUAGAAUUCUGGAAAACAAUUUUGCAAUUCCCCACCUGCAAAAAAACCUUUACUUUUAACAGUAUUAAGUAAUGCAUUAGUUGUAAAAUUAUACGGGAAACCUUAAAUGAGAGGUUUGUAACUCUGAAAGGCAGGAGUGCAUUGCUGUGCAGAUGACAAUUUAAACAUCUGACAGAACUGUAAGAUAAGGUGGAAUUUGUAACUCUUAAUUAAAAUCUUAUUAUAACAUUUAUUUCUCAAUUUAAAUGUAUACUUGGCCUUCAAAUAAUCUCCAUCAUUACUACUAGCAAUCAUAGAAUUUCUGUCUGGAUGUUGUAACUAGCUUCCUGCUAAGCAAUGUUCAUACUAGAAAAUAUGAACUUCAAUGGGGGAAUGGUACCUUCCAAGACACAGAGAUCUGAAAGCAACGUAGUCAUAUAUUUUUUUCUCAUUCAAUUUCUUCAAGAUUCACCAUUCUGUAAUAGGCCAUCAAGUCUUUAACUUCAGGUGCCCUUCUAUAUAUUUUUGUCUUCUGCACUGCUUCUACAGAUCCAAGUAUACAGAUGGUCAUGGAAAGAUCUUCACAUAAAUAGUAUUUAUUUAAACCAUUACUGCAGACAAGUGGAGAGUGGAACACUAAUCCUAAUAUUAACAUUAGAAAAGGAGUAGAUGAACUGUGAUAUUAUCUGAAAGCCAUAUAGUCCUCCACAUUUGCAGGUUUAACUUAUUUCAGAUUUGAUUAAUAGGAUCUCUCUGGGAAUUUCUAGGUCCUCUAUGUCAACUCUGUGGUAAAUGUCCAGAAAUGUUAUCUCAAAUUUACAUAACAGUUUUCAAACUUUUGAAGGAGUUCUACACCCCCUAACCCCUACAAAAGUGGGAGGCCUACUGUUUACGGGAACUACAACAAAGCAAUGGCACUUUCUAAAAGGCCAGGGUAGUGGGAGACUUUCCACCCCACACAAACCAACAAGGACUCAAAAGCAUUCUGUCAUUAAAGUGUUCAAUCCAUACACUGGACUGUUCUUCACAUACUGGGCAGCUUACAAAUACUUAUAUUGUAUUGGAUUUUAUAUCUGGAUAUAUGCAACCACAUAGCCCAGGAGAAGGAUUUCCAUUUUAAAAUUAGUCUUGUAAACAAUUUUGCCCUUCUACCUAAUUUUUCAAGAAUGCAAAUGGCACAGAAAUCUUGUCUUUAUCUUUCACAGCUGGCAGCUUCAAUAACCUUUCCCCAUCUGUAUAACAACAGUGACAGAAUCCUGAUUGUAUCAGCAGUUUUCUUCUCCAAUAGCAAUUAAAACCAGAAGCUGUUAUCAAUAAUAACUAUCUCCAUAUUAUAUUAAGCUAUAAACAAAAUUCACAACUUUGCUACUCCAGGGCUUCUGGAUUCAUGUUUAGUUCCACGCAGAGAUCACUCCAAACAUAAAAGAUGGGAGUAGACUACUUACAGCUAGACAGAAAGCAGAAGUAAACCAAAAUUACUACUUUCUGAAUUGUAAGGCAAGUUAGAAGCAGGAAUAACUGGACUGCAUUAAAUACAUUUCAAAGUAGCAAUUAACAACAAGGAAAUGCUGAAGAAUAUAUGAGUAUUAGUCAUAGAAAAACUAUCAAGCCAUCAACAAUGGACAGACUUUAAGUAUAUUCUGAUGACAGCAUUUGCAAUUUUGCUACCAGAUGUCAUUUUAAAUAAAAAUGUGGGUGAAUUGGACUUGGGGCAGAAUAUAUAUAAAUAGCAAGCCUUACAUUUCACCAACAGUGCCAUCACAUAACAUCACAAGCUACUUUUUGUAAAGAAAUAACAUUAAAUAACUAUACAAAUAAUGGCCCAAGUUUCAAAGUUUGCUUUUUAUGAUUACACCUCAAGACGGUUGG
Anolis carolinensis (green anole) is the source of this 5557-nucleotide long non-coding RNA. RefSeq lists it as uncharacterized. The record is from RefSeq and is a predicted model, not a curated record. The transcript is spliced from 3 exons. Lineage: Eukaryota; Metazoa; Chordata; Lepidosauria; Squamata; Anolidae.